RNAcentral lists this ribosomal RNA (163 nucleotides) under Cremolobus peruvianus. Its description in RNAcentral is "5.8S ribosomal RNA". It matches the Rfam family "5.8S ribosomal RNA". From Rfam's summary of the family: 5.8S ribosomal RNA (5.8S rRNA) is a component of the large subunit of the eukaryotic ribosome. It is transcribed by RNA polymerase I as part of the 45S precursor that also contains 18S and 28S rRNA. The record is from RNAcentral. Lineage: Eukaryota; Viridiplantae; Streptophyta; Magnoliopsida; Brassicales; Brassicaceae.
AAUGACUCUCGGCAACGGAUAUCUUGGCUCUCGCAUCGAUGAAGAACGUAGCGAAAUGCGAUACUUGGUGUGAAUUGCAGAAUCCCGUGAACCAUCGAGUCUUUGAACGCAAGUUGCGCCCCAAGCCUUUUGGCCGAGGGCACGUCUGCCUGGGUGUCACAAA